RNAcentral lists this ribosomal RNA (373 nucleotides) under uncultured Prevotella sp. RNAcentral describes it as "bacterial SSU rRNA". It matches the Rfam family "Bacterial small subunit ribosomal RNA", at positions 355 to 725 of the family's 1533-position model. The record is from RNAcentral. Lineage: Bacteria; Pseudomonadati; Bacteroidota; Bacteroidia; Bacteroidales; Prevotellaceae.
UGAGGAAUAUUGGUCAAUGGACGAGAGUCUGAACCAGCCAAGUAGCGUGCAGGAUGACGGCCCUAUGGGUUGUAAACUGCUUUUGUGCGGGGAUAAAGUGUGCCACGUGUGGCAUAUUGCAGGUACCGCAUGAAUAAGGACCGGCUAAUUCCGUGCCAGCAGCCGCGGUAAUACGGAAGGUCCGGGCGUUAUCCGGAUUUAUUGGGUUUAAAGGGAGCGUAGGCCGGAGAUUAAGCGUGUUGUGAAAUGCCGCGGCUCAACCGUGGCACUGCAGCGCGAACUGGUUUUCUUGAGUGCGCGCGACGCAGGCGGAAUUCGUGGUGUAGCGGUGAAAUGCUUAGAUAUCACGAGGAACCCCGAUUGCGAAGGCAGC